Scatophagus argus is the source of this 961-nucleotide long non-coding RNA. RefSeq lists it as uncharacterized. The transcript has 8 exons. Lineage: Eukaryota; Metazoa; Chordata; Actinopteri; Scatophagidae. The record is from RefSeq and is a predicted model, not a curated record.
ACAAAGUAUUAGCACCAAAAUAUACUUGGUCUACUCAACGUGAAAUAUUCAUUACGGUGAAUGUCACAUCAGAAUAUUAAUGGAUUAUAAUUACUGAUGUCUUAAUGUUUUGGUCACAAUAUUGAAGCUGUAGUUUCCCUUUGUAUCAGUAGUUCUAUUUGAAACAUUCCCUCCACAUGUAUUAAUAAGGCAUACAUAAAAAUUCUCUCUUGUGUUUAUGGUUGAAGAGUUAAAUUCUUGAAAUUGCAUCGAUUCCUUUUCAGUCAUUAGAUAUUCCAGAAUAUGUGAAUAUGCUAUUUUUUUAUUUCACAAGUUACGGUGCUGAAUGCAAGGUGUUUCCAACUUCCUACUUCACUGUAUAUGCACUGAAAGCUACAAGUUUCCAUGUCCAACAUUGUAUCACAAUAAAAGUGGCUGCAACUUCUACCUGAUGCCCCUCAGAGUACUGAAAGAAGACAGUUUCAUCCCAAACUACUGAAUACUGUAUUCUUUCCUUCAGUGAGCAGAUUAUAGCGUCAAGCCAGGAGCUAAUGGUUGUUAAACUGAGGCCGUUAGGCGGAGACUCCUAUUUUAGAAUGAGUCUGCUCUUCAAGUCUAAACUGAAUAUUGGGUGUCCAAGGACCUCCAGAAGAACAAAGUUUGCAGAUGCAUGAAUAAAUGCCAUGGAAAUAACCUGUCUGAUGGUUGUUAAACUGAGGCCGUUAGGCGGAGACUCCUAUUUUAGCUCAUGCACACACUGAGAAAGGAGCUGACAUGAUAUCUCCAGUGCUAUGUGACAAUUGUGAGCUUGGACUGCUUCAAUGAUGGUCAACAUUAAGUCAUCAAGGAAAUGGAAGCAUAUUUAAAUGUUGGACACAAUCCCAUCAUUUUCAUUUAAAUGAGUUGGCCUGUGAAAACAGGUUUUGACGACUUGCUUUAAUUCUUGUAAGAACAUUUUAAAUAAAUGUUUGAUUCACAAUGA